ACCAUCGCGAACAAAAGUUAGAAAAAAGCAAACCAAAAGCGCUAGGAUGCUAAAAUUAAAAAAAAACAUGAGUAGACGGCCGCCCUUGAUCAUAUCCGAUCAAUCCUUAAUUAAAUUGGAGCCUCCACGUUAAGAACUUAUAAGGUGUACUGAAGUCAAACUAGCACUAUAAGAUAUAAAAUCUCCCGGUUAGCUGUUGGAUGAGCCGAUCCAGUGGUCCACAAACAACACAGCAAACCUAUCGUCUUCUUCUAUCCCGCGAACUUGAACCGGUCUCAAGCUACAAACACGUGUUAGCUUUAGCUGUAAACAUUCACUUGUGAAUGGUUGAGGCCGGAUUUUCCUUAAUUAAAAAGUGAAUGGUUGAGGCCGGAUUUUCCUUAAUUAAAAAACCGCGUGUUAGCUCAUGAAUCUUUAAUUUCUUUCCCCGGCAGCCUCGAUGGUUGACAAGGAGCAAACCUUCAAAAGAUACGCAUCUACUCAUCCAUCCCAAAUUAUAAGUCAUUCCAAGAAUCUUGGAGAAUCAAAGUAUCUCAAGUUUGACCAAAUUUAUAUAAUAAUAUAAUAACAUUUAUGAUGUCAUCUAAGUAUCAUUAGAUUCUUCAUCAAUUAUAUUUUUAUAGUAUACCUACUUGAUGUCAUAAAUCUUUAUAAUUUUCUCUAUAAUUUUGAUCAAACUUGAGAUGCUUUGACUUUCCAAAAUUUUUAGAAUAACUUAUAAUUUGAGAUGGAGGGAGUAGGACGCAAUCGUCGUGUGGCCACCAAUCAUGCAAAGAUAAUCCACGCUCUCACGGCCUCGGCCGGGCUCCACAGCUGGGGUGUGUACGUGUGGUGGGCCGGGAUACUACCGAAAACGGCAAGGAGACUCCUGUGCAGUAGAUGUAGCUGCAGAGGAUAUGUUUCCGAAAAUGAGAAAGCUCAACUCCACGGUACUAUGCCUUUGACCAGAAGCGCAUAACAAACGCAUACUGCACAUUUGCGAGCGGUUCUCCUGCUACAAUAUAA
This 1005-nucleotide long non-coding RNA is filed under the name Setaria italica (foxtail millet). Its description in RNAcentral is "long non-coding RNA (SITA_LNC001644)". Lineage: Eukaryota; Viridiplantae; Streptophyta; Magnoliopsida; Poales; Poaceae. The record is from RNAcentral.